RNAcentral lists this ribosomal RNA (870 nucleotides) under uncultured bacterium. RNAcentral describes it as "bacterial SSU rRNA". It matches the Rfam family "Bacterial small subunit ribosomal RNA", at positions 32 to 895 of the family's 1533-position model. The record is from RNAcentral.
AACGCUGGCGGCGUGUCUUAAGCAUGCAAGUCGUGCGGCAAGGGGUAGCAAUACCCCCUAGAGCGGCGGACUGGUGAGUAACGCGUGGGUGAUCUGCCCUUGGGAUGGGGAUAGCCAUUAGAAAUAGUGGGUAAUACCGAAUACGUUCAUUAGGCUGCGGCCUAGUGAGGAAAAGCGCUUCGGCGCUGCCCGAGGAUGAGCCCGCGUCCCAUUAGCUAGUUGGUGAGGUAAUGGCCCACCAAGACUAUGAUGGGUAGCCGGCCUGAGAGGGUGUACGGCCACACUGGGACUGAGAUACGGCCCAGACUCCUACGGGAGGCAGCAGCUAAGAAUAUUCCGCAAUGGACGAAAGUCUGACGGAGCGACGCCGCGUGGAUGACGAAGGCCGAAAGGUUGUAAAGUCCUUUUGUUGGGGAAGAAUAACCAUGGGAGGGAAUGCCCGUGGGAUGACAUGAACCGACGAAUAAGCCCCGGCUAACUACGUGCCAGCAGCCGCGGUAACACGUAGGGGGCGAGCGUUGUUCGGAAUUACUGGGCGUAAAGGGCAUGUAGGCGGCUCUAUAAGCCCGGCGUGGAAGCCCAUGGCUCAACCGUGGGAUUGCGCUGGGAACUGCAGGGCUUGAAUCAUGGAGAGGGAGCUAGAAUUCCUGGUGUAGGGGUGAAAUCUGUAGAGAUCAGGAAGAAUACCAGUGGCGAAGGCGAGCUCCUGGCCAAUGAUUGACGCUGAGGUGCGAAAGUGUGGGGAUCAAACAGGAUUAGAUACCCUGGUAGUCCACACUGUAAACGAUGUGCACUAGGUGCUGGGGCGGAUGCUUCAGUGCCGGAGCUAACGCGGUAAGUGCACCGCCUGGGGAGUAUGCUCGCAAGGGU